UUCACAACGGGUAUCCGCUCCAGGCGCCGUAGCUGGCAAACGGAGGGGGCCCCAGUUUACGGGAAAGGGGGGGAACAGGGGACCGUCAGUGGAAACUGAGUCUGGCUUUUAGGAUUUUAGGGUUCAUACGCGGCCAAGACCACACAUAUAAACAACAGAGCUAAAUGUUUCUGACAGGUUCAAGAGAAGGGGAGGAGGGUAAUGAAGAUGCAAAUAAAUAAAACACAGUUCCUAACAUAGAUACGGAUACAUUCUGAAAUCGGAUGGGGUGAAUGGAUUAGGGUGCCCCUCUCGCAGGGGAGAGCAGGGCCAACUGCCUUCAAGGGAAAGGGGGCCGCUGGUGUAGCUAUACCACCCUGUAACAACAUACAUACAUACUUACUAGUGGUGUGCUGGAAGGGCUGAGGCAGCGGGCAUUCAAGGCAUGCAGGCAGACAGACGAAUAGGCAGAGAGAGAUAAACAGGCAGGGAAGCACACAGACAGACACAGUCAGACAGACAGGCAAACAGAUAGAAACAGACAGACAGACAGAUAAACAGAGAGACAGACGUACAGUCACACAGAGAGACAAACGUAAAGACAGAUAUGCAGACAGAAACAGACAGACAGAUGGGCAGGGAGAGACAUACAUACAGGCAAACAUACAGAAAGGCAGAUGUGCAGCCAAACAAACAGACAGGCAGACACGGUGCGGUUUAUAAUUAGGGCCGGAGCAAGUACCGCAGGAAGGCUGCAGAGGGAGAAGAGGAAGGCGAGGAGGAUUACUAGAACGAGGGCGCGGCGGUAACCCCAAGGUCACGAAAGGGCAAUUCUUGCCACGAAAGGACAGCAGUGCUGUGACCGAUACUGAUGCGAAGAGGGGCUAGGAGUGCUUAAUGCCUAGUGACACAAUGUGGUACAGCAGUGUGGUACAACCGUGUCGUAUAACAGUUUGAUACAACGGUUUGGUACAACAGUUUGGUACGACAGUUUGGUACAACAAUUUGGUACAACAGUGUGGUACAAGAGUGUGGUACAACAAUUUGGUACAACAAUUUGGUACAACAGUGUGGUACAAGAGUGUGGUACAGCAAUGUGGUAGAACAAUGUGGUACAACAGUGUGGUGCAGCAGUGUGGAUGAAGAUGACCGCUCGUGAGCAUACGAAACGAAGGGGGAGCAGCUUGCUUGCAUGUCAACAGCAAUUACAAUCUAUAUGCGCCCGGCGUUGCCCGGCAUCCCACUAACCACUCUGGGAACGGGCCCCCCUGAUAAAAAAGAAAGAUAAAAAGUCAGUACUUACCUCAAAUUUGUCUUGAUAGGGUCGCCAAUAAGGGUGUAGAUAUCUUCUGGACAAUGCUGAAGUGUAGAUUAUUACGUCAUAGGGUCGUAAACUUUUAUCAAUUACAGCAUAUAUAUCUUGAAUUGCCUAGGACUUACGCGCAUCGCAACAUCAUCAAUCCAGCAAUCCACCUCUUAAGCAGAACAGAAGAAGAAAGGAACAACACGAUUCAUUCAGGAAGCCGUAAACCUGCCAUAGUAUUUAGCGUCCAGCUGCAAAGGCCUGCGGUUCCCGAUACUGCCUAAAGCCACUAAAGCCACGGCCCAACAUAUUCGCAAAACCUGCCAUGUCAACACAGUAAUCAACCUGCCUGCAAAAGUGCGCGCAAGACCAUAAACCCUUGUAGAAACGAAACUCAUGCAAUUGCAACCGGCUGCGCAAAAUCAUUCAUUUAUUCGUUUCCCUGAUCGUCGAUAUGCCCGGAAAAGGGCUUGGUGGUCAAUCAGUCAUUUCAUCGCACUACCCAGCGGCAUGGCGCAGUCUGAAGCGAAGCGCGACUUAAUCACAUCGAAAACGAGCGAGCAAAACGAGCAAACCGACAAUAAAACCACAAACAAUAAUGAAGGAAAGCCGAAAAAACAAAGGCCGUCAUUCUACGAGCGAUGCUUAUUGUCCUGUAUCACGUAGUCGGUCGCACCAGGGUAGGCAAUCGGCAAACGUAACGGGCACUUGGCCUGCUGCAGAUGCCGCUCGUAACGCUUACUAGACGAAGGUGGCUGGGCAGCACUUGUUGUCACCAGAGUAUAUGUUCACCUGCAUGUAUGUAUGCAUGUAUGUAAUGUGGCGUCAGGCCCAAACAAGACGGGGGCCCCGGACUUGCAUGUGUGCAUGUGACGAGCUCCAAGUACGUGCCACGGCAUUUGUAGACUGCAAUGAGCACAUGCUUUAUCGAUG
This 2215-nucleotide long non-coding RNA is filed under the name Volvox carteri. Its description in RNAcentral is "long non-coding RNA (VCAR_LNC002367)". Lineage: Eukaryota; Viridiplantae; Chlorophyta; Chlorophyceae; Chlamydomonadales; Volvocaceae. The record is from RNAcentral.